Molecule: long non-coding RNA, 1602 nt
Organism: Sebastes umbrosus (honeycomb rockfish)
Lineage: Eukaryota; Metazoa; Chordata; Actinopteri; Perciformes; Sebastidae
Exons: 2
Source: RefSeq, a predicted model, not a curated record
GUCUUAGAAAAAACGCUUUGGUCGACACGGCCCCUUACAAUGAGCCGUUUAUAUCUACAUAGGGAGCAGGUCCUCGGGUCCAUGUUUCUACAGUAGCCUAGAAUGGACAAACCACUGUGUUAACUUUUCCUGCUUGAGCCAGACCCUUUACGUUUUCACGUCGGCCACUGUAGUUCUUCUACACGCAAGAUGUCGCUAAAUCCAACACACUGUUCCUUUUAAAUGCUGUCAGUAUACUUACUGCGACCUGCGGUCUGCCCACGUUAGAGGGUGGAGUUUGCAAGUUGUUUUACAGGACAUGUCACGAGAUAGAAUCCUGGAGAUUAAAUUGGAGAGAAAGUCAAUACAAGCGUUGGCUGUGCUCAAAGUUGCAAUAGUAGUGGACUAGUAAAAAGUAGAGUAGGAACAUUAUUUAGGACUGGUCCUGAUACCAUUUACAGCAACAAAAAAACUAAAUUGUGGUGUUGUAUUUGGUGUUUAUCUUUAGGUUUUCUGUAGUUAAGGAUUGAUUUAGCUUUAUGGUUAGGCUUUGGGUGUUAGUGAAGGACAAUGACUUAAUACACUGAAGAGCUUAACUCGGAACAAUAGAGCCCAGUCUCUAACCUGCAAAGACAAAAUGAAAAAUAUGUUGGACAUGUUUGUGACGGUGCCACUUUUCGCAGCUUGUGGGAAACCUUUUGGGGCCAUCCUUUCCUCUCACACUAUCUUCAUUACAAGUGGUUGUAAGCAUCUGCCUUCAGAUUCAAUCAAUUCAUACUGGCGAACUGAAACUUCACAUAUAAAGCCAGCUCUGGAGUCCCAAGUUGAAAGAAAAAAAAAAAUGCUCAUUUUGCACAGAUCCUCGUCCUUUUUGUCAGGACUGGUCCCGUAAUCCAUUUUAAGAGAAUCUAAAAUGGCUGCCAACAGACAGCUGUUUCAAAAAUGUCUCGUUGUAAACCUUUUACUCAAGCAGUUCUGAGGAAAAUAACCCAACAGUGCUCUGCUGAGGGAAGCUCCUGCUGUAUCUUAUCUCUGUGCCCCGUGUGAGCCCUGGGUGUGCGUUUGUCAAGAGGGAGCAGAGAUAGAUAGGGCGGUUCAGUCCAAUGCUGGCCCCUAGCUUUUAAACAGACCUCAAAUACUCUUUCUUGUCAUGAUUCAUCUCUCAGAUCAUUUUCACUGAAGUGUCUCAAUUACAUUCUGACAAUGAAAACUGCUGUUACAAACAGCCCAUAAGGUGUUUGUACCCUCAGCUCAGUAGUGGUUUUGUGCUAUCUAAAUGGGGUGCUUGUGAAGGCCCUUACCUGGUUUAACGGGCAUAUCUGAUUAAUGUUGUGGUUGUAGCUUAAAUAAUGGGUUGGUGAAGGUGAGGGUAAGGGGAUUUGUCAAGGUAAGAGUAGUCCCAAGCACCCCACUUAGACACUACCAUGUUAUAUCGUACAGUAAAGCUGAGCUGAUUAACUUGUCAGUACCAACUAUUGCCCUCACUCAGACCUCAUUACAACUAAGAGUAGUGAGUGCUGUGCCAUGCCUGCUUGAUGUUGAAAAAAAAAACCCAACCCAGUCGACAGAUGUCCAACCCACUUGUGCUUGUCUCUUUCUCUCUUUCUCUCCUUUCUCUGUGUU